CUACACAUAUAUAAGCAAAUCACCUCGAUCCCUACCUUUCAAGUUUCAAUUUCACAAAUCAAGUGUUUAUUCUCAUUCAGAAAUCAAAGUAUACACACUUCACCCCAUCUGCUUCAAAAAGAAUCAAGAUAUGCAUCCCAACCACUUCACCUGUUGAUCCAAAACAAAGCACCAAUGUGUAGAAGAAAGGCAUGGGAUGGAGGUGGUGGUGGAGUGUGAUGGAAGAAGUGGUGGAGGAGAGUGGCGGAGCAGGACGACUUCUUCUACAGUUUGUCUACAGGAGUGUGAAGGAGGUGGUGAUUGAGAGUGGCAGAGAAGGGUGUCUGCUUUUGCGAUUUGCCUGGAGUGUGAUGGAAGUCAUGAUGAGGAGAACAGCGGGAGAAGCGGUGGUUUGCAACUAGUCCAAAGAUUAGGAGCAAAUAAUUAUGAUACUUGUCACAAUAUUAUUAUAAUUUUGUGGAAUUUGGAAGUGUAGAUUGAGC
This 482-nucleotide long non-coding RNA is filed under the name Olea europaea subsp. europaea. The record is from RNAcentral. Lineage: Eukaryota; Viridiplantae; Streptophyta; Magnoliopsida; Lamiales; Oleaceae.